RNAcentral lists this ribosomal RNA (484 nucleotides) under uncultured bacterium. RNAcentral's name for it is "partial 16S ribosomal RNA". It matches the Rfam family "Bacterial small subunit ribosomal RNA", at positions 30 to 507 of the family's 1533-position model. The record is from RNAcentral.
AUUGAACGCUGGCGGCAGGCCUAACACAUGCAAGUCGAGCGGAUGAAGUUAGCUUGCUCCUGGAUUCAGCGGCGGACGGGUGAGUAAUGCCUAGGAAUCUGCCUGGUAGUUGGGGAUAACGUCCGGAAACGGGCGCUAAUACCGCAUACGUCCUGAGCGAGAAAGUGGGGGAUCUUCGUACCUCACUCUAUCAGCUUAGCCUAGGUCUGAUUAGCUAGUUGGUGGGGUAAAGGCAUACCAAGGCGACGAUCCGAAACUGGUCUGAAAGGAUGAUCAGUCAAACGGGAACGGAGAAAGGGUCAAAACUCUUACGGGAGGAAGCGGUGGGGAAUAUUGGACAAGGGGGGAAAGCCGGAUACAGAAAGGCGGCGGGUUUGAAGAAGGUGUUCGGAUGGAAAAGCACGUUAGGAUGGGAGGAAGUGCAGUAAGGUAAUAAGUUGAUGUAUUGACGGUACCAACAGAAUAAGCACCGGCUAACUACGUG